ACGGAGGGUGCAAGCGUUGUUCGGAAUCACUGGGCGUAAAGGGCGCGCAGGCGGUUUGGUAAGUCAGAUGUGAAAGCCCACGGCUUAACCGUGGAAGUGCAUUUGAAACUGCCAGACUUGAGUACCAGAGGGGAAAGUGGAAUUCCCGGUGUAGCGGUGAAAUGCGUAGAUAUCGGGAGGAAGGCCGGUGGGGGAGGCGACUUUAUGGCUGUAUACUGACGCGGAGGCGCGAAAUCGUUGGGUGAAAGCAG
This 251-nucleotide ribosomal RNA is filed under the name uncultured prokaryote. Its description in RNAcentral is "partial 16S rRNA". It matches the Rfam family "Bacterial small subunit ribosomal RNA", at positions 525 to 775 of the family's 1533-position model. The record is from RNAcentral.